CACGUAGGAGGCAAACGUUAUCCGGAUUUACUGGGCGUAAAGCGCAUGUAGGUGGUUCUGUAAGUAGGGCGUGAAAGCUCCCGGCUCAACUGGGAGAGGCUGUUCUAAACUACAGAGCUAGAGGAUGGUAGAGGGAGGUGGAAUUCCGGGUGUAGCGGUGGAACGCGCAGAUAUCCGGAGGAACACCAGUGGCGAAAGCGGCCUCCUGGUCCAUUCCUGACACUCAGAUGCGAAAGCUAGGGUAGCAAACGGGAUUAGAUACCCGCGUAGUCCCUGA
Molecule: ribosomal RNA, 277 nt
Filed under: uncultured prokaryote
Description: partial 16S ribosomal RNA
Rfam family: Bacterial small subunit ribosomal RNA
Source: RNAcentral